AGAACGAACGCUGGCGGCAUGCCUAAUACAUGCAAGUCGAACGAACUCUUCGGAGUUAGUGGCGCACGGGUGCGUAACGCGUGGGAAUCUGCCCCUUGGUUCGGAAUAACAGUUGGAAACGACUGCUAAUACCGGAUGAUGACGAAAGUCCAAAGAUUUAUCGCCAAGGGAUGAGCCCGCGUAGGAUUAGCUAGUUGGUGAGGUAAAGGCUCACCAAGGCAACGAUCCUUAGCUGGUCUGAGAGGAUGAUCAGCCACACUGGGACCGAGACACGGCCCAGACUCCUACGGGAGCAGCAGUAGGGAAUAUGGACAAUGGGACGAAAGCCUGAUCCAGCAAUGCCGCGUGAGUGAUGAAGGCCUUAGGUUGUAAAGUCUCUUUACCGAGUAUGAUAAUGACUAGUA
RNAcentral lists this ribosomal RNA (404 nucleotides) under uncultured soil bacterium. Its description in RNAcentral is "bacterial SSU rRNA". It matches the Rfam family "Bacterial small subunit ribosomal RNA", at positions 26 to 460 of the family's 1533-position model. The record is from RNAcentral.